Gallus gallus (chicken) is the source of this 1325-nucleotide long non-coding RNA. RefSeq lists it as uncharacterized. The record is from RefSeq and is a predicted model, not a curated record. The transcript is spliced from 3 exons. Lineage: Eukaryota; Metazoa; Chordata; Aves; Galliformes; Phasianidae.
GCCAUGGCGAUGCCUGAGCUGUCACAAAAGGAUGCGUGUGAUGAUUUCACAGCAGAUGGGCUGUGAGGGAGGAAGCCCUCAUUUAAAUUUUAAAAAUUGCUUUGGUAAUUAGCAAGAGCAAUGGAAAAAAAAAAUACGUUAAAAAAAAAGAAAAAGGAAAAGGAAAAAGAAAAAUCCCUGAAACUGGCACUCUCAGCAAAGGGUAAUGAAUUCUGCAGGAAGAGGAGGGAAGUAGGGGCUGUGCUCCCACUGCCCGACUGCAGGAUCCCCCCCAUCCCAGCACAUCUCACGGCCCACUCAUCCAGCCAGCCCUGCAGUAGGGAAGGCGGCGGGCAGGAGCAUCUCAAGGACCUUGGGCUGAGUCCUAUUCAUCGGGGAGAGCAGACUCCUGGGAUGCACGUUCUUCACUUGUCCUGUGAUUAACUGUUGGUCUUCCAAAGAAUGAGCCAGAUGGUUCCCAUGAGAAGUGAUCAGCUCUCCUGGAGUCUAUGAACCAGAAAAAGACAGAGUCUGGGUGCCUCUUGCCAGGACCUGUCUGAAGCUGAGGUGAUGAGUGCAGGUACACUGGGAGCUGGUGCCUGGGGGAUUCCCUCCACCUCAGCUCAUCAGCCCCACAAACUGAAGGGACAGCUUCUCCCAGCUUAAGGGCAUCACAGAGCAUAAGGUCAGCCCUGCUGAUUGGAUUCGGACCUCGGCAGUGCUUUGCUCCUGUGCAAAUUCCUUUUAGCAUCUCAUUCUGCAGACAGCGCAUCUGAUCGGUGCUCUCCACCUCAAUUUGAAGCCCCUCUUUGGAUACUGAAAGGAGCACUGGGUAUCCUUGGCUUUAUCUCCACGAUCUCUGCAGUUUCUCUGAGCACUACCGUCGAAUACACAAUGGCCAAUAAGCAGCUCUUAGCUUUUUCAUUGAGGAUGGCAAUAGGAACUGUCACAGUUUUAAAGCCCACGUCCUCCUCGCUCCAAACCUGUGCUCCGUUUUAAUGACUUCGUAUGGCAUCACCCGUGUUUGGGGGAAGGCAGAGGAGUUUGCGAAGGGGCCCCACGCAGCGCAGACCGCUUAAGCCCAACGGUGGGCCCCAAAGGAGGCUCCGGGCUCCCACCCACGGCCCCGCUUUGCACUUGAAAGCACCAACGGCAGCACCGCCGUAUGGGCCAAAGGGCCCUUUGCGCAUGGCAAGGCAGAAAGAAAAAGAACAGAAAGAAAAAAAAAGCUAAAGAGGCCUUAAACUAAGUGUGAAUGAGGACAGCAGCAAGGAGACGGCUUCUCCACCAUCGAUCUGGCCCGUAAAGAACCCUUCACAUAAACGAGCGUAAAGGUCAUUCAAACA